UACGUAGGGUGCAAGCGUUAAUCGGAAUUACUGGGCGUAAAGCGUGCGCAGGCGGCUUUGCAAGACAGAUGUGAAAUCCCCGGGCUUAACCUGGGAACUGCAUUUGUGACUGCAUGGCUGGAGUGCGGCAGAGGGGGAUGGAAUUCCGCGUGUAGCAGUGAAAUGCGUAGAUAUGCGGAGGAACACCGAUGGCGAAGGCAAGCCCCUGGGCCGGCACUGACGCUCAUGCACGAAAGCGUGGGGAGCAAACAGG
RNAcentral lists this ribosomal RNA (253 nucleotides) under uncultured bacterium. Its description in RNAcentral is "partial 16S ribosomal RNA". It matches the Rfam family "Bacterial small subunit ribosomal RNA", at positions 524 to 776 of the family's 1533-position model. The record is from RNAcentral.